Mus caroli (Ryukyu mouse) is the source of this 2060-nucleotide non-coding RNA. NCBI's taxonomy places the organism in Eukaryota, Metazoa, Chordata, Mammalia, Rodentia, Muridae. The record is from RefSeq and is a predicted model, not a curated record.
AUGAAUGCAGCAGCCAAAGCUGGAAAACUGGCUCGAGCACCUGCCGACCUCGGGAAAGUUGGGGCCCCAGGAGAUGUAGCUCCCGGUGCCCCAGUGGCCGCCCCACUGGUGAAAGAAACUCCAAGAGGUCCUAUUGGACCCAUGCAGCCGGUGGCAGUAUGUACAGGGGCGCUUUCUGGGUAAAGGAGGCUUCGCCAAAUGCUUUGAGAUCUCAGACACAGACACAAAAGUGGUAUUCGCAGGCAAGAUUGUGCCUAAGUCUUUGCUGCUUAAGCCCCACCAGAAGGAGAAGAUGUUUAUGGAGAUCUCAAUUCACCGCAGCCUCGCCCACCAACAUGUCAUAGGCUUCCAUGACUUUUUCAAGGACAGCAACUUUGUGUUUGUAGUUUUGAAGCUCUGUCGCAGGAGGUCCCUCCUGGAGCUGCACAAGAGGAGGAAGGCACUGACUGAGCCUGAUGCCCGCUACUACUGCGAAAGAUAGUCCUGGGCUGCCAGUACCUGCACCGCAAUCAGGUCAUUCACAGGGACCUCAAGCUGGGCAACCUCUUCCUGAAUGAGGAUCUGGAGGUGAAAUAGGGGAUUUUGGCCUGGCGACCAAAAUGGAAUAUGAAGAGGAACGAAAGAAGACCUUGUGUGGCACUCCUAACUACAUAGCUCCUGAGGUGCUGAGCAAGAAGGGACACAGUUUUGAGGUGGAUAUGUGGUCCAUCGGGUACAUCAUGUAUACCUUGCUAGUGGGCAAGCCACCCUUUGAGACCUCGUGCCUAAAAGAGACCUACCUCCAGAUCAAGAAAAAUGAAUACAGUAUUCCCGAGCACAUCAACCCAGUGGCCGCCUCCCUCGUCCAGAAGAUGCUUCAGACAGACCCCACUGCCUGCCCCACCAUUCACGAGUUGCUCAGUGACGAGUUCUUCACUUUGGGCUACAUCCCCACCCGUCUCCCUAUUACCUGCCUCACUAUCCCAACAAGGUUUUCAAUCGCUCCCAGCAGCCUGGACCCCAGCAGCAGGAAGCCUCUCAAAGUCCUCAAUAAAGGCAUGGAGAACCCCCUGCCUGACCGUCCCCGGGAGAAAGAAGAACCAGUGGUCCAGGAGACAGAUGAGGCCAUUGAGUGCCACCUUAGUGACUUGCUACAGCAGCUGACCAGUGUCAACGCCUCCAAGCCCUCGAAGUGCGGGGUGGUGCGGCAAGAGGAAGCUGAGGAUCCUGCCUGCACCCCCAUCUUCUGGGUCAGCAAGUGGGUAGACUAUUCGGAUAAGUAUGGCCUUGGGUAUCAGCUGUGUGGCAACAGUGUGGGGGUGCUUUUUAAUGACUCAACACACCUCAUUCUCUACAAUGAAGGGGACAGCCUGCAGUACAUAGAGCGUAAUGGCAUGGAGUCCUACCUCACUGUGAGCUCCCAUCCCAAUUCCUUGAUGAAGAAGAUCACUCUCCUCAACUAUUUCCACAAUUACAUGAGUGAGCACCUGCUGAAGGCAGGGGCCAACAUCACACCUCAGGAAGGCGACGAGCUGGCCUAGCUGCCCUACCUACGAACGUGGUUCCGCAUGCGCAGUGCCAUCAUCCUGCACCUCAGCAACGGCACCGUUCAGAUUAACUUCUUCCAGGACCACACCAAACUUAUCCUGUGCCCCUUGAUGGCAGCAGUGACCUACAUCAACGAGAAGAGGGACUUCCAAACAUACCGCCUGAGCCUCCUGGAGGAGUAUGGCUGCUGCAAGGCCAGCCGCCUCCGUUAUGCCCUCACCAUGGUAGACAAGCUGCUGAGCUCCCGCUCCGCCAGCAACCGCCUCAAGGCCUCCCUAGGUCUCUCUUCUUCGGACUGGUGCCCCUUCACUCUGCUAGCUCUGAGCACGCACUGUGGGCUCCUGGGGGCUGCUGUUCAGUGCCCCUGGCCCUGGGGGCUGGGCAGGAGCAGGGCCCCCUUUGAAGGGGUUGCUGUGUGUAAGUUAUUUUGUACAUGUCUAGGUGUGGGUUUACAUCCGCUUCCCUGUCCUCGCUCGGCCCACUGUAUGAAUUGUAUAAAUAUUUCUAUUAAAUUGGGACUGCUCUUUCCUUAG